Molecule: ribosomal RNA, 426 nt
Filed under: uncultured Thermobispora sp.
Lineage: Bacteria; Bacillati; Actinomycetota; Actinomycetes; Streptosporangiales; Streptosporangiaceae
Description: bacterial SSU rRNA
Rfam family: Bacterial small subunit ribosomal RNA
Source: RNAcentral
GGAGGGAAUCUUGCGCAAUGGGCGAAAGCCUGACGCAGCGACGCCGCGUGGGGGAUGAAUGCCUUAGGGUUGUAAACCCCUUUCACGAGGGAAGAAACUGACGGUACCUCGAGAAGAAGCCCCGGCCAACUACGUGCCAGCAGCCGCGGUAAUACGUAGGGGGCGAGCGUUGUCCGGAUUUAUUGGGCGUAAAGGGCUCGUAGGCGGCUUGGCAAGUCGGCCGUGAAAACCCAGGGCUCAACCCUGGGACGCCGGUCGAUACUGCCAUGGCUAGGGUCCGGUAGAGGGGAAUGGAAUUCCCGGUGUAGCGGUGAAAUGCGCAGAUAUCGGGAGGAACACCAGUAGCGAAGGCGGUUCCCUGGGCCGGCACCGACGCUGAGGAGCGAAAGCGUGGGGAGCAAACAGGAUUAGAUACCCUAGUAGUCC